GUGGGUAAAACUUGAAAGUAAGGAUGCACUAUUAGUAAGCUUUUUGGCAAAACAAUUUGGCUCCUUGCUCAGCCACUCCUUGUCUACCCCAAGCCUGCAUUCCUAAGUUCUCCUCUUUUUCUGCCGGGUAAGUCUUGUUGAGUACUCCCGUACUCAGGGUUUUAUAACCCCUGUUGCAGGUGCUGACUUAUGCUGCUAAUGGAGGUCAUGUCGGUGGGCGCGACAUGAUUUAUCCACCUCUUCUACCUUAGAAGCUUCACCUAAGAUGCUUCCGCUACUCCGCACACCUUUUGGAAAUUUAGUUGUUUAUAUUCCAUCAUAUGUUGUAAAUUGAGUUAUAAAUCUUCCGCACUCCGAUGUAAGUUAUUUUUGUAACAAAUGAUGUAAUGUUGUGGUAACUCCAUGUUGAUCCUGUAUGAGUUAAAAUGUGGAUGAUUCGGGGUCCUCUAAGGGCACCCGACAGACUACCUGGGUUAUAUGACUCUCAUGUGCAGUAAUCAGAGGUCUUAAUGACAAUGAUAGGUGCAUGUGGGCCAUAUAAUUUAGGUGGUUCUGCCACAGAGUGGUAUCAGAGCUCAUACAUGGAUCUUCUGCAACAUUACUUGUGAAAAACUUCAAAAGGAAUUUACAAAUUAAAAGUUUUUGAGGACAACAACUUGUAAAUGCUCCUUAACUUUUCUUAUGCUUGCUAUUCAAGUUCUGUGAAGACUGUCUGCUGACUCAAAUAGAAGGCAUUGAAAGGGACUUCAAUUCUUCUUCAACAAGUCAAGUGAAGAAUCAAACUACUCCAACAAUGCUUUGUCAAGAGUCUUGCAACAUUCCAUCCAGAGCGAUGAAGAUACUGUAUAAAUAAAGCCCUAUAAUCUACUAACAUGAUGAAGAUGGAGCACUCUCGCCGUUGAGAAGACGUAUAGGACGAGCAUAUUGCAUAUCAUGCAUAACAUGACAAUAUAAUGAUACUUAAAAGCCCCUCCUUAUGCUUCAAAAACAGUUAUUAUUCAUUAUAGCUGUUUUAUUGAUGAAUCUCAUCAUGUACCAGCUUUCGUUAACCGAUUGAUAAUCUUUUACUCCAUAAGAUCCUAAUCCUUGAUUCUCUUGUUAUGCAUGUGACCUUCCUUGAUUUCAUCUAACUUGACACAGGCUACCUCCUUGCUGUCAUUUGAUGACAUAUGUGCUGAUUGAAUGACACUAUGAAUGUGUCCUCUUAAGGUACCAUGACUUGUAACUUAGGUAACAAUGUCGAAACCUGGGGUCUCCUAUGGCUCAUGACCAUGAGGAAAUACUGCUGGGCGCUCAUUGUUAUCAAAGUAUAUGAUCAUGAUCCCUUAUAGUCCACAAUUAGGGUGUUUCAUUCUUUGGACACUCCUUAGGGAUUCAAAUUUGUCCUUUUGAGUUCCCUAAACGCCUUGUGGUUGUGAUCGACUUUUGAUCUCAGUUACAUUCUUGGUAUUGUGAGACAUGGGUUAUUGUUGUGGUGCCCUAUAGUGGUGCCAUGUCCCGUGACCCCGGUGCCGCGUCGGAACCUAGAGUCUUUUGUGUGUCUGGAUGACACAAAUUUCUGCUGGGCGCGUGCAGGUAUCGAGGUUAUGGGCAUGAUCCAUUAUAGCCCCACAACUAAGGUGCCCUCGCUCUUUAAGCCCUAUCAUGGGAACCCAUGCCCAUAUCUUUGUGGGAAUUACCUAAACCCUUGACUUGGAUAACCAACAUAGAUUGGUUGAAAGCUAUUGUAACUGUGCUCUAUAGUAGGUACCAUGAUCCGUGAUCACGUUAUAACGUCGAGCCUUGUAGUCUCCUGUGGAACCGCGGCCAUAAGGAAAUACUACCAGGUGCUCGUUAAACAUCGGGAUCUCUGGUCAUGCUCCACUAUAGUCUACAAUUAGUAUGCUUUCAUUCUCCUUGGAAGCUCAUUUGGAGAUUCAUACCUUCUUAUGAAUUCUCUAAAAUUCCUGGUUGAUUACAACUUCCUAUUGCUCUUAGUUGUAUUUCUCAGACCAAUUAUAGUUGUUUUACGAACUUCUCAGAAGUUAAUGUGCUUAACACAUUUCCUUUUCCAUUACAUACCAUAAGGCUUUAAAUCUCGAGGACGAGAUUUCUUUAAGGGGGAAAGGCUGUAACAUCCCUGAUGUUACGAACACUAAAAACGGAUCAUGUUAUCAUAAGCAUUGCAAAGCAUAUUUGUUAAGCACAUUAUUAUGCAUCAACUUAAAACAAGUUUAUUUUGAUUGCUUGUGCUUAGGGAAGUAGAGUGUACUUAUGUUGUGAAGUGAUGCUUGUGUUGGUUGUAUAACCCCUAGGGCGGAAGGUUUCCGAUAAAAUAGGGGGAAAACCCUGAUUUUAAAACCCUGGAUUUGCCCCCUUUUGUGUAAUUUUAAAACCAAGCAAAAUUUGAGGUUGAGUACAAAAGAAAAGUUGUAGAUCUUGUCAAGAUGUACAACUUUGGUGUUUUGAGUUUUUGAAGUUUCAAUACAAAAUUCAAAGUAAUUUUGAAAAUACAGAUUUCCAGAAAGUGUCCCCUUUUCCAAAUUGAACCUCCAAUUCAAAAUCUAUUUGGAAUUUUGAAAAGUGACCAACAUUAAAGUUGUAGAGCUCAAAAAUUUGAACAACUUUCAUGUUGGGAGUUUUUCAAGUUGUUUGGAAAAAUUAAAAGUAAUUUUGGAAAUUCUAAUCUGCCCCAAUUCAAAAAUUGGAAUUUCCCCAAUUUGGGAUUUGAAAUUCAAACUGUUUUGUCAAAUUCGUCAUUUUCCACCCAGAAUUGGCUUUGGUCACCAAAAGAAGAUUUGUAGUUUGUAAAAUUCUGAAUAACUUUUGUUUUGGUGGAAUUUUGUCUUCAGUUCAAAAUUUGGGCGAAUUUCGCAAAACCACAAAAUUGGUUGGAUAGGGCUCGCUACAGUGAUCCGGAUCACGGGCUCCUCUGUCCCGCCGGAAGCAGAGCGGGCAGAGCCGCGCGCGCGCCCCACCGCCACGCAGCUGCUUGCUGGCCACAUCAUCGCGCGACGUGGACGCCCGCGACCCCUUCGACUCGUCCCCUUGAGCGCCCCCGCGGCCGACAUCUUUCUGCGACCGAAAACGCCGAUGGAAUUCAUCUCGCUCCUCCCACCUCAGCCCCGUUGCUCUCUUCCUCUGCUCCGCAGCAUCCUUGAGCAUCGUCUAAGCCAGCUAACACUCUCUUCCCUCGUCGGACUCGGCCAUGAGCCGGUUUCCCGUCACAGAGCCCCGCCAUGGCCGCCAUGGGAGCCUGCGCACGUGGCCAGGAGGCCACAGACCUUCUCCGGCCAAGCCGCUGACACCAGCGCGAGCGCGCGAGCCUCAGGAUGCUCCCCAACGCUUUCCCUCGCUGCCAACAAGCGUCCACCGGCCGGAAAUCAGGUUUUCUCCGACAUCCUCUGCUCUGGAAUCGCGACCAGGGACUUCGCGCGACAAUUUGAAGUUCUCCAGGGGUCUAAUUGCACAGACUGUGACUCAGGUGAAUAGUGCUAUAAGGACUUGUUUGUAGAUGUUUUGUUGAAUCUUUGAAAAUUCAUAUCUGGAGUUUGGUAGCUCCAAUUUUGGUGAACCAAAUUUUGUUGUGCUCCUUGAGAUGUCUAGUUUUUAUUAAAAAUAUGAAACUGACCAUGUUUUGUAGUAAAAUAAUUAGUUAUGAUUUAUGCCUUUUAAUUAUGUUUAAAAGGGAGAAAUUCAUAUCUCAUUCUGUAUAGCUCCUAUUGCCCUGAAAUUUUUAUGGUGUUCUCAUGAUGUUAUGUGAGUGUUGCAGUAAAAAUUUCAUGUUCAGUAGAUGAUAUAUGGUUAAGUUAUUAAUUUAUCUUGUUUAGUGCUUAUUAAAUUAUCUAUAAUUAAACUAAAAAUUAAUAAAUACAAAAUAUGGUUCCUGUACCUUUAUAUGAGGUCUUUAUAUCAUACAGAUACAUAAUUGAGCUAUGUGUUUGUAGAAAAUGUCGAGUUUCUUAAUUAUCUUGUUGUUACAUGCUUCCUUGUGAUGGAAAUUUAUCUUUUUCAUGGAAAUUGUUAUACUUAACCAAAUGGUAUGAAAUUUAUACAGUAGACUUUGGAGAGAAUAUAUGAGCUGCUGUAGUUUUCUCAGAAUUUACUGUGUACUUUUGAUAUAUGGUUAUUGCUUUGUUUAUUUACCUAAAUAAAUUAAUAAAAACAUGAAAGGAAUUUUUAUUUAGGGAUGACCAUGAUAUUUUCUAGUAUUUCUUGGAUGUAUUUCAACUGUUGGUGAGCUGGGUUUUGCCCAGGUUUAAGUUUGGAACAUAAAUGAAAUGUUUUUCUCUGUAAUUCAAUUAUUAGUGAUUUCUAGAUAGUUUCUGGAACAUUAUAAAUUGCUCUAGGUAAAUAAUGUUGGAUAUGAAACUUGUCUAUAACAAAGUUGUAUAUAAUUCAUGUAUCUACCUGGUGUUAAAGUUUGGUGGCAUUUGUCCCUGUAGUUUCUGAGUUAUGCUUGUUUCAAUUUAAGUUUCAGAAAUGGUUCCCCUCUGUCAAAUCCUGGAUCAGUUUCUGUAGUAGUAUAAUUUCAACUUGCUAAACUUAUGAAUCAUGCUUUCAUGAUAAAAGAUGAAUUGUAGUAAUUUUCAUAAGCUUUCCAAAAUGUUAUGGAUCAUGAAUUUUGGUGAUCUAUAACUCUGGUUAUAGAUGUAUGAAGCUUAAUGUCUGAUUCUGUCCAUGGUCUGGACAGGAAUGUUUCUUCAUGCUAUUUGGCCAUCUUAUCUAUUAAAUCAGUUCUCGAAGAUAAUAACAAAGUUGCAGAAAAUUAUCUAAGCUUUUCAGAAAGUCUAAUAUCACCUUUAUUGGAUGCUUGGAUCUCUAAUUAUGGUUGAAUGAAGUUACAUAUAUGCUGCUGUCCUGGUUAUGUGUGCAAAUUUGAUUUAUGUUUGAAUAUAUAUAGAAGAGUUGUGCAGAUUCGAAAAUAGUGAAAAUAUUUGGAUAUGUUCUAUGCAGUCUGUAGAACACAGAAAAAAAAUGCUAGGUUUUAUUUUCUAGCAAUAUAUAUAUGUAUGAAAAUGGUAGCCUUUAUUUAGUAAAUAACACUAUCAUGAAUUUCAAUAAUUUAGUGAUAUGUCCAAAAAUCACCAAAAUUUGUGGGAUGCCUCUGAAUAUUAUUCCCUGGCAUCACACAAAAUUUGGUGGCACUUGGAUGAAGUUUGAAUAAAAUAUUAUUAUACCCUUAAUUAGUAAUAAUUCCAAAAUAAUUAGGUAAUGAUUAGUUAAAUUCUCAAAAUUAGGGUUUGAGUGAUUUUGGGAUUAUGUGAUGACCUGAGGUCAUUGACCUUAAUGACCUUUGGCAUUUAAUUAUUGUUUGGCCUUAAUGCUUAAUUACUGUCAUUAGUAAUUAAUUAAGAAUUAAUUAAGGUAAAUAAGAUUAAUAAUUAGUUAAUUCAGGUUAAUUAUGAAUUAAAAGAGAUUUUAUUUUACAGAUGCAACCUCUUGGGUAAAAACAUUAAGAUGUUAAACAACUUUAUUUAGUGAUAAUUCUGUAUUGCAUCAAGAAGGCGAGUUGUACUCGAUUUGGUCCUUCUUACAUAUUUGUCAUACGCAUAUCAUGAGCAUUCAUCAUUUUGCGUAUAGUGUCCGUGACCGAAGGAGCGCCCGUUGAACCGAACCCCGACGUCGGUGCUCCGUUCGAAGAAGUCGGAUCCGAGACUUGGGAAGUCUCCGAGGGUCCCUCUCUACCCUGCAACCAAGGCAAGCCCCGGAUGCAUUAACCCCUCCUUGGAUGUUUUAAAUCUUUUAUCACUUAUGAAUUGAAAAUGCUGCAUUAGGUAGUUGAGAAUUGGGUUAACCUACUUGCUGCAUUUACUACCUUGAUAUCUGUUAUCCUGUCCUUGACACCUGUUUUAUUUUAAAACUGCGUAGCGAUGCUUAGCCCUGCUACUAGAUAGGUUUUCAAACAAGAAAGUUUGAAGGGUUGUUGUGGGAUACACUUAUGAUCAAUGAUGUUUCAAUUUGAGACCGGUCGGUGGACUUGCUCUAAGAAUGGAGUCUUAAAGUAGUGUCUCCGACUGUGUUGAUUAAGGACCGUUCCGUUGAUGGCCUGCUGGGUUGAGAAUUUAUAGUACUAGCCACUUGCCCUCGGUAAGCCCGAUCUUGUAAUCCCUCGACGCGAACAGCUACUCGCGCACUGGGAGUGGAAAGAUGGCGAGAGUAACGUGUGCCCACCUUACGGAUCUGAGAUGACCGGAAAACAUCUAGAUCGGCUGUAGGAUGGUGGAGUACUGUGCUCUCGGGUGCCGCGAACCUGGUCAAAUUUGGGGAGAGCUUGAUUCGGGUUGAUAUAUGCAAGAUUUGGUUCUACAUAUGUCGGGUGGUUAGGAACUCCAGCUGGAUUGCUAAGCGAUUCGAAUCGUCGUUGCUCCCCGAUUGGGAGACUCAAUUCCUUCGACCCUCAUCGUAGUUAAAUAUGCAACUAAGUGAUAAAAUGAGAAAGGGGGAAAAUGUCUUAUGAGGUUCGGAUCCCAAUUCCCGGACUCAGAGUGACAUGAAGCUUUGGCCGUUGGAUAGAUAAUACUUUGAUUAAGGACGAGGAACUUACAGACUUGUCUGUGAGAAGCAACUAGAUAGACUGUCCUCGAACUCCUCGACCUCUUAAGGAGAGGAAUUCGUGGGUAAAACUUGAAAGUAAGGAUGCACUAUUAGUAAGCUUUUUGGCAAAACAAUUUGGCUCCUUGCUCAGCCACUCCUUGUCUACCCCAAGCCUGCAUUCCUAAGUUCUCCUCUUUUUCUGCCGGGUAAGUCUUGUUGAGUACUCCCGUACUCAGGGUUUUAUAACCCCUGUUGCAGGUGCUGACUUAUGCUGCUAAUGGAGGUCAUGUCGGUGGGCGCGACAUGAUUUAUCCACCUCUUCUACCUUAGAAGCUUCACCUAAGAUGCUUCCGCUACUCCGCACACCUUUUGGAAAUUUAGUUGUUUAUAUUCCAUCAUAUGUUGUAAAUUGAGUUAUAAAUCUUCCGCACUCCGAUGUAAGUUAUUUUUGUAACAAAUGAUGU
RNAcentral lists this long non-coding RNA (6980 nucleotides) under Sorghum bicolor (sorghum). Its description in RNAcentral is "long non-coding RNA (SBIC_LNC005336)". The record is from RNAcentral. Lineage: Eukaryota; Viridiplantae; Streptophyta; Magnoliopsida; Poales; Poaceae.